GAACGCUAGCGACAGGCCUAACACAUGCAAGUCAGGGGCAGCACAAGGAGCAAUCUGAGGUGGCGACCGGCGCACGGGUGAGUAACACGUAUGCAACCUGCCUGUAAGCGGGGAAUAACCCGUUGAAAGACGGACUAAUACCGCAUAAUACUAAAUUACUGCAUGGUAAUUUAUUUAAACAUUUAUGGCUUACAGAUGGGCAUGCGCAUGAUUAGCUAGUUGGAGAGGUAACGGCUCCCCAAGGCAACGAUCAUUAGGGGUUCUGAGAGGAAGGUCCCCACACUGGUACUGAGACACGGACCAGACUCCUACGGGAGGCAGCAGUGAGGAAUAUUGGUCAAUGGACGAGAGUCUGAACCAGCCAAGUCGCGUGCAGGAAGAAUGUCCUUAAUGAAUUAGUAAACUGUCUUUUGCGAGGGGAAAUAAAGUGCAUCACGUGUGAUGUUUUGUAUGUACUCUGCGAAUAAGGAUCGGCUAACUCCGUGCCAGCAGCAGC
Molecule: ribosomal RNA, 496 nt
Filed under: uncultured bacterium
Lineage: Bacteria
Description: bacterial SSU rRNA
Rfam family: Bacterial small subunit ribosomal RNA
Source: RNAcentral